UUAAAAAUAAAAUAAUAUUAAUAAUAGUUAAUUAGUAUUGAAAAAUAAAGUUGAAAUAAUUUGAAAUAUUUAUAAAUUUAAAAGAAAUUUUAAUUAAGUGUACCUUGUGUCUCAGGGUUUAUCUAAUAAAAAAUAUUUAAUUAUUUUUCUCGAGUUAAAGAGAUCUAAAAAUUUAAUUUAAUUAAUGUGGAAUAAUUAUUAAUAAUAAAUUUUUUGAAAUGAAACGUUAUCGUUCUUUAAGAUAUCUAGUUUUUUAAGAAAUAAAUUUAAUUUAUAUUUAUUUAAUUUUAUUAUUUAAUUUUUAAUUAAUAAUUUUUAUAAAUAAGUAUUUUAAGGGAUAAGCUUUAAAAUAAAGAUUUAAAAAUUAAUUUUUAUAAUUAAUAAAUAUAAGCUUAGAAUUAGUUAUUAAUAAAAAUUAUGUUAUAAUUUAUUUUUAAAAUAAAUAUAAUUUUAUUUUAGUUUUAAAUUUUUUAUUAAAAUAUUAAUUUUAAUUUUAAAAAUUAAAUAAUAAUGAUAAAAUUAGUAUAAUUUUUUAUAUAAAUAAAAAUUUUUGAUAGAUUUUUAUAAUAAAUUCGGCAAAAAUAUUAUAUUCGCCUGUUUAUCAAAAACAUGUCUUUUUGAAAUUUAUUUAAAGUCCGACCUGCCCAUUGAAAUUUUUUAAAAGGCUGCGGUAUUUUGACCGUACAAAGGUAGCAUAAUCAUUAGUUUUUUAAUUGAAAACUUGUAUGAAUGGUUUUACGAAAUAUAAGCUGUAUCAUAAAAAAUUUAUUAGAAAUUAAUUUUUUAGUAAAAAAGCUAAAAUGAAAUUGAAAGACGAGAAGACCCUAUAGAGUUUUAUAUAAUUUUAAAAAUAAUUUAUUUAUAAAAUUUAAUUUUUUUUUUUAGAUUAUAUUUUGUUGGGGUGACAAUAAAAUUUUAUAAUCUUUUAUUAUUUUUUAACAAAGAUUUUUGAAUAAUUGAUCCAUUUUUAGUGAUUAAAAGAUUAAAUUACCUUAGGGAUAACAGCGUAAUUUUUUUGUAGAGUUCUUAUCGAUAAAAAUUUUUGCGACCUCGAUGUUGGAUUAAGAAUAAUUUUAGGUGUAGAAGCUUAUUAAUUAGGUCUGUUCGACCUUUAAUUUCUUACAUGAUCUGAGUUCAAACCGGUGUAAGCCAGGUUGGUUUCUAUCUUUAAUAAAUGAAUAUAUUUUAGUACGAAAGGACCAAUUAUAUAAAAUAUUAAUUUUUAUUUUUAGAAUUUAAUUAAUUUAUAUAA
This 1252-nucleotide ribosomal RNA is filed under the name Coelophthinia sp. 1 JPL-2022a. RNAcentral's name for it is "16S ribosomal RNA". The record is from RNAcentral. Lineage: Eukaryota; Metazoa; Arthropoda; Insecta; Diptera; Mycetophilidae.